GCCGAGCUUGCACGAUAGCUUGUAACCCGAAUGGGGGCACCAAGAUGGUGGAACAUGGCUAUGACUUCACUGGGUUGGUCUGGUGGUUGCACCUUGUUGGCCUGCCCGCUCCAAGUCGAGAGGUGGGCCAUGUGUCUUUAGUGAAAGCUAAGGUCUUGUGGUUCCUAGACAGGAGGGCAAAGCGUGAGGCUGGUGUCACAGAGCAGCGAACACUUCUGGCUCCUGACAGUGGAGGGAUAACAGGCUGCUGCACCUUCAGCCCACAAAUGCCUAGUGAACCCAGCUACCUGAACUAUCAUUUUC
Molecule: signal recognition particle RNA, 303 nt
Filed under: Lotus japonicus
Lineage: Eukaryota; Viridiplantae; Streptophyta; Magnoliopsida; Fabales; Fabaceae
Description: Plant signal recognition particle RNA
Rfam family: Plant signal recognition particle RNA
Source: Rfam by way of RNAcentral